CGAGUGGCGGACGGGUGAGUAAUGCUUGGGAACUUGCCUUUGCGAGGGGGAUAACAGUUGGAAACGACUGCUAAUACCGCAUAAUGUCUUCGGACCAAACGGGGCUUCGGCUCCGGCGCAAAGAGAGGCCCAAGUGAGAUUAGCUAGUUGGUAAGGUAAAGGCUUACCAAGGCGACGAUCUCUAGCUGUUCUGAGAGGAAGAUCAGCCACACUGGGACUGAGACACGGCCCAGACUCCUACGGGAGGCAGCAGUGGGGAAUAUUGCACAAUGGGGGAAACCCUGAUGCAGCCAUGCCGCGUGUGUGAAGAAGGCCUUCGGGUUGUAAAGCACUUUCAGUUGUGAGGAAAAGUUAGUAGUUAAUACCUGCUAGCCGUGACGUUAACAACAGAAGAAGCACCGGCUAACUCCGUGCCAGCAGCCGCGGUAAUACGGAGGGUGCGAGCGUUAAUCGGAAUUACUGGGCGUAAAGCGCACGCAGGCGGUUUGUUAAGCUAGAUGUGAAAGCCCCGGGCUCAACCUGGGAUGGUCAUUUAGAACUGGCAGACUAGAGUCUUGGAGAGGGGAGUGGAAUUCCAGGUGUAGCGGUGAAAUGCGUAGAUAUCUGGAGGAACAUCAGUGGCGAAGGCGACUCCCUGGCCAAAGACUGACGCUCAUGUGCGAAAGUGUGGGUAGCGAACAGGAUUAGAUACCCUGGUAGUCCACACCGUAAACGCUGUCUACUAGCUGUGUGUGUCUUUAAGACGUGCGUAGCGAAGCUAACGCGCUAA
This 769-nucleotide ribosomal RNA is filed under the name uncultured Alteromonas sp. RNAcentral's name for it is "bacterial SSU rRNA". It matches the Rfam family "Bacterial small subunit ribosomal RNA", at positions 92 to 863 of the family's 1533-position model. The record is from RNAcentral. Lineage: Bacteria; Pseudomonadati; Pseudomonadota; Gammaproteobacteria; Alteromonadales; Alteromonadaceae.